RNAcentral lists this ribosomal RNA (2082 nucleotides) under terrestrial metagenome. RNAcentral describes it as "bacterial LSU rRNA". It matches the Rfam family "Bacterial large subunit ribosomal RNA", at positions 3 to 2003 of the family's 2925-position model. The record is from RNAcentral.
UCAAGCUGGUAAGGGCAUACGGUGGAUGCCUAGGCGCCAGGGGGCGAAGAAGGGCGCGGCAAGCUGCGAAAAGCCCCGGGGAGGUGCAAGCGACCGUCGAUCCGGGGGUGCCCGAAUGGGGGAACCUGCUGGGGUUGAAGUCCCAGCACCUUAUGCUGAACACAUAGGCAUAAGGGGCGAACCGGGGGAACUGAAACAUCUUAGUACCCCGAGGAGAAGAAAGCAAUAGCGAUUCCCUGAGUAGCGGCGAGCGAAAGGGGAGGAGCCCAAACCGUCGGCGUGUAAAAGGCUGCAGCCGUUGCGCUGGCGGGGUUGUAGGCAGCUCCCGUACAAGCUGCUGCAGCGGCUUGGAUGAGUUACAAACCUCUAGGCUAGCCGAAGAGGCCUGGAACGGUCCACCAUAGGGGGUAAAAGUCCCGUAGGCGAAAGCUUAGGGGCUCAUUGGGGGCUUGCCUGAGUACCGCGGGGCACGGGGAACCCCGUGGGAAGCAGGGAGGACCACCUUCCAAGGCUAAAUACCACCUGGCGACCGAUAGCGGAUAGUACCGUGAGGGAAAGGUGAAAAGCACCCCGGGAGGGGAGUGAAAUAGGACCUGAAACCGUAUGCCUACAAGCAGUGGGAGCCUCGAUUUAGGGGUGACCGCGUACUUUUUGUAGAACGGACCGGCGAGUUACUGUCCUGUGCGAGGUUAAGCGUGGGAAGCGCGGAGCCGAAGCGAAAGCGAGUCUUAACAGGGCGCGAAGUACAGGGCAGUAGACCCGAAACCGGGUGAUCUACCCAUGGGCAGGGUGAAGCGUAAGUAAAGUUACGUGGAGGCCCGAACCGACCGGUGUUAAAAAACCGGCGGAUGACCUGUGGGUAGGGGUGAAAUGCUAAUCGAACCCGGAGAUAGCUGGUUCUCCCCGAAAUAGCUUUAGGGCUAGCCUCAAGCUGAAGACUUAUGGAGGUAGAGCACUGAUCAGGCUAGGGGCCCUAUCAGGUUACCGAACCUUUUCAAACUCCGAAUGCCAUAAGUUGUUGCUUGGGAGUCAGACUACGGGUGAUAAGAUUCGUAGUCGAGAGGGGAACAGCCCAGACCGACAGCUAAGGUCCCCAAGUACGGGCUAAGUGGGGAAGGAUGUAGAGCCGCAUAGACAACCAGGAUGUUGGCUUAGAAGCAGCCAUCAUUUAAAGAGUGCGUAAUAGCUCACUGGUCGAGUGGCUCUGCGCCGAAAAUGUAGCGGGGCUCAAGCCCGUCACCGAAGCUUCGGCUAGCUGGCGUAUGUCAGCUGGGGUAGGGGAGCGUUCCAGCUGCGCAGAAGCUGAGCUGAGAGGCUUAGUGGAGCGGCUGGAAGUGAGAAUGCCGGUAUGAGUAGACGAGAAAGAGGUGAGAAUCCUCUUCGCCGUAAGCCUAAGGUUUCCUGGGGAAGGCUCGUCCGCCCAGGGUAAGUCGGGACCUAAGCCGAGGCCGAGAGGCGUAGGCGAUGGGCAACCGGUGGAGAUUCCGGUACCACCCUUAACCCGUUUAGAGGAAGGGGUGACGCAGGAGGGUAGGCCAAGCGCGCCGUUGGUUGAGCGCGUCCAAGCCUGUAGGGUGGCUGGGCAGGGAAAACCGUCCGGCUAUACCUGAGGGGUGAUGGGGAGCGAAAUUUGAGUAGCGAAGUGGCUGAUCCCACACUGCCGAGAAAAGCCUCUAACGAGGGUUAGGGGUGCCCGUACUGCAAACCGACACAGGUAGGCGAGGAGAGGAUCCUAAGGCGAGCGAGAUAACCCUCGUCAAGGAACUCGGCAAAAUGGCCCCGUAACUUCGGGAGAAGGGGCGCCUCGUUAGCGUGAUAAGCCCUAGCGGCUUUGAGCGCGAGGGGGCCGCAGAGGCCAGGCCCGAGCGACUGUUUAUCAAAAACACAGGUGCCUGCUAAGGAGGAAUCCGACGUAUAGGUGCUGACGCCUGCCCGGUGCUGGAAGGUUAAGGGGAGGGGUUAUCCGGCGAUGAGCUGGAGAAGCUCCGAACCAAAGCCCCAGUAAACGGCGGCCGUAACUAUAACGGUCCUAAGGUAGCGAAAUUCCUUGUCGGGUAAGUUCCGACCCGCACGAAAGGCGUA